AGUUCCAAAAUACUGGACUGUCCUGUCGAUGACAUUGACAGUGGGGCGCCACCGUCAAUACCGGAUCGCUGGUUCAGAUUUUUGCCAUGUUGGAAACCAUAUAGUUGAACGAUGGUAGCGCCCCCCUGUCAUUGAGUUUGGCGGGACAGUUCAGCGUGGGUCAGUUAUAUUGGCCGAUUCAACCACAGAAAAAGAAUAUUAGCCAUAACCAUAAAAGUUGAAGUUCAAAUGUCAAUGUCAUUUAGUUUCGCACAGUGAUAAAUUCCAGUGACAUGCAAUUUUUGUAAUGGUAAAAUAUUUGUAAGAAACUGCAAACAAAUGCAAAUGUGCAGUCGAUGUGUGGAAUGCGACAACAUUAUACUCGAUAAUUUCAAUUAUUGCGAGGGUUGUGGCUUAGAAACAAUUAGGCAGUUAAGAAUAAACAAGGCUCGGGCACUAUCAAACCUUUUUCCUAAAAAGCAAAAAGCUGCUUCUGCUGCAUCACAAGAUUUAUUUGAUGACUUUCAGGUUGAUAACGAAGAGUUGACGCUAAUCGAGGAUUCAU
This is a long non-coding RNA of Ostrinia nubilalis (European corn borer), 544 nucleotides long. RefSeq lists it as uncharacterized. The transcript is spliced from 3 exons. The record is from RefSeq and is a predicted model, not a curated record. NCBI's taxonomy places the organism in Eukaryota, Metazoa, Arthropoda, Insecta, Lepidoptera, Crambidae.